UCCAGACUCCUACGGGAGGCAGCAGUGGGGAAUAUUGCACAAUGGGGGAAACCCUGAUGCAGCGACGCCGCGUGAGUGAAGAAGUAAUUCGUUAUGUAAAGCCCUAUCGGCAGGGAAGAAAAGCGAACAGGUUCGCCUGGACGGUACCUGACUAAGAAGCCCCGGCUAACUACGUGCCAGCAGCCGCGGUAAUACGUAGGGGGCAAGCGUUAUCCGGAUUCACUGGGUGUAAAGGGAGCGUAGACGGCGACGCAAGUCUGGAGUGAAAGGCCGGGGCCCAACCCCGGGACUGCUCUGGAAACUGCGUCGCUGGAGUGCGGGAGGGGCAGGCGGAAUUCCUGGUGUAGCGGUGAAAUGCGUAGAUAUCAGGAGGAACACCGGCGGCGAAGGCGGCCUGCUGGACCGUGACUGACGUUGAGGCUCGAGAGCGUGGGGAGCAAACAGGAUUAGAUACCCGUGUA
This 461-nucleotide ribosomal RNA is filed under the name uncultured bacterium. RNAcentral's name for it is "bacterial SSU rRNA". It matches the Rfam family "Bacterial small subunit ribosomal RNA", at positions 330 to 792 of the family's 1533-position model. The record is from RNAcentral.